This 149-nucleotide unclassified non-coding RNA is filed under the name soil metagenome. RNAcentral's name for it is "partial internal transcribed spacer 1". The record is from RNAcentral.
CCGAGUUUACAACUCCCAAACCCCUGUGAACCAUACCCAUAUCGUUGCCUCGGCGGAUCAGCCGCUCCGGUAACGGGGGACCGCCAGAGGACCCCUAAACCUCUGCUUUCUACUAAGUUGUCUGAGUUGCUGCAAGCAUAAACAAAUCA